CCCCUUAUCGGGGUUGCGGACAGUGCCUGGUGGGUAGUUUGACUGGGGCGGUCUCCUCCCAAAGAGUAACGGAGGAGCACGAAGGUGGGCUAAUCACGGUUGGACAUCGUGAGGUUAGUGCAAUGGCAUAAGCCCGCUUGACUGCGAGAAUGACAAUUCGAGCAGGUGCGAAAGCAGGUCAUAGUGAUCCGGUGGUUCUGAAUGGAAGGGCCAUCGCUCAACGGAUAAAAGGUACUCCGGGGAUAACAGGCUGAUACCGCCCAAGAGUUCAUAUCGACGGCGGUGUUUGGCACCUCGAUGUCGGCUCAUCACAUCCUGGGGCUGAAGUCGGUCCCAAGGGUAUGGCUGUUCGCCAUUUAAAGUGGUACGCGAGCUGGGUUUAGAACGUCGUGAGACAGUUCGGUCCCUAUCUGCCGUGGGCGUUGGAAGAUUGAAGGGGGCUGCUCCUAGUACGAGAGGACCGGAGUGGACGAACCUCUGGUGUUCGGGUUGUGUCGCCAGACGCAUUGCCCGGUAGCUAAGUUCGGAAUCGAUAACCGCUGAAAGCAUCUAAGCGGGAAGCGAGCCCUGAGAUGAGUCUUCCCUGAUACUUUAAGUAUCCUAAAGGGUUGUCGGAGACUACGACGUUGAUAGGUCAGGUGUGUAAGUGCUGUGAGGCAUUGAGCUAACUGAUACUAAUUGCCCGUGAGGCUUAACCAU
Molecule: ribosomal RNA, 699 nt
Filed under: Vibrio parahaemolyticus
Lineage: Bacteria; Pseudomonadati; Pseudomonadota; Gammaproteobacteria; Vibrionales; Vibrionaceae
Description: partial 23S ribosomal RNA
Rfam family: Bacterial large subunit ribosomal RNA
Source: RNAcentral